This 253-nucleotide ribosomal RNA is filed under the name uncultured bacterium. Its description in RNAcentral is "partial 16S ribosomal RNA". It matches the Rfam family "Bacterial small subunit ribosomal RNA", at positions 524 to 776 of the family's 1533-position model. The record is from RNAcentral.
UACGGAGGGGGCUAGCGUUGUUCGGAAUUACUGGGCGUAAAGCGCACGUAGGCGGCUUUGUAAGUUAGAGGUGAAAGCCCGGGGCUCAACUCCGGAAUUGCCUUUAAGACUGCAUCGCUAGAAUUGUGGAGAGGUAAGUGGAAUUCCGAGUGUAGAGGUGAAAUUCGUAGAUAUUCGGAAGAACACCAGUGGCGAAGGCGACUUACUGGACACAUAUUGACGCUGAGGUGCGAAAGCGUGCGGAGCAAACAGG